This 1554-nucleotide ribosomal RNA is filed under the name Escherichia coli. RNAcentral describes it as "bacterial SSU rRNA". It matches the Rfam family "Bacterial small subunit ribosomal RNA". The record is from RNAcentral. Lineage: Bacteria; Pseudomonadati; Pseudomonadota; Gammaproteobacteria; Enterobacterales; Enterobacteriaceae. RNAcentral also lists the same sequence under 8 other names.
AAAUUGAAGAGUUUGAUCAUGGCUCAGAUUGAACGCUGGCGGCAGGCCUAACACAUGCAAGUCGAACGGUAACAGAAAGCAGCUUGCUGCUUUGCUGACGAGUGGCGGACGGGUGAGUAAUGUCUGGGAAACUGCCUGAUGGAGGGGGAUAACUACUGGAAACGGUAGCUAAUACCGCAUAACGUCGCAAGACCAAAGAGGGGGACCUUCGGGCCUCUUGCCAUCGGAUGUGCCCAGAUGGGAUUAGCUAGUAGGUGGGGUAACGGCUCACCUAGGCGACGAUCCCUAGCUGGUCUGAGAGGAUGACCAGCCACACUGGAACUGAGACACGGUCCAGACUCCUACGGGAGGCAGCAGUGGGGAAUAUUGCACAAUGGGCGCAAGCCUGAUGCAGCCAUGCCGCGUGUAUGAAGAAGGCCUUCGGGUUGUAAAGUACUUUCAGCGGGGAGGAAGGGAGUAAAGUUAAUACCUUUGCUCAUUGACGUUACCCGCAGAAGAAGCACCGGCUAACUCCGUGCCAGCAGCCGCGGUAAUACGGAGGGUGCAAGCGUUAAUCGGAAUUACUGGGCGUAAAGCGCACGCAGGCGGUUUGUUAAGUCAGAUGUGAAAUCCCCGGGCUCAACCUGGGAACUGCAUCUGAUACUGGCAAGCUUGAGUCUCGUAGAGGGGGGUAGAAUUCCAGGUGUAGCGGUGAAAUGCGUAGAGAUCUGGAGGAAUACCGGUGGCGAAGGCGGCCCCCUGGACGAAGACUGACGCUCAGGUGCGAAAGCGUGGGGAGCAAACAGGAUUAGAUACCCUGGUAGUCCACGCCGUAAACGAUGUCGACUUGGAGGUUGUGCCCUUGAGGCGUGGCUUCCGGAGCUAACGCGUUAAGUCGACCGCCUGGGGAGUACGGCCGCAAGGUUAAAACUCAAAUGAAUUGACGGGGGCCCGCACAAGCGGUGGAGCAUGUGGUUUAAUUCGAUGCAACGCGAAGAACCUUACCUGGUCUUGACAUCCACGGAAGUUUUCAGAGAUGAGAAUGUGCCUUCGGGAACCGUGAGACAGGUGCUGCAUGGCUGUCGUCAGCUCGUGUUGUGAAAUGUUGGGUUAAGUCCCGCAACGAGCGCAACCCUUAUCCUUUGUUGCCAGCGGUCCGGCCGGGAACUCAAAGGAGACUGCCAGUGAUAAACUGGAGGAAGGUGGGGAUGACGUCAAGUCAUCAUGGCCCUUACGACCAGGGCUACACACGUGCUACAAUGGCGCAUACAAAGAGAAGCGACCUCGCGAGAGCAAGCGGACCUCAUAAAGUGCGUCGUAGUCCGGAUUGGAGUCUGCAACUCGACUCCAUGAAGUCGGAAUCGCUAGUAAUCGUGGAUCAGAAUGCCACGGUGAAUACGUUCCCGGGCCUUGUACACACCGCCCGUCACACCAUGGGAGUGGGUUGCAAAAGAAGUAGGUAGCUUAACCUUCGGGAGGGCGCUUACCACUUUGUGAUUCAUGACUGGGGUGAAGUCGUAACAAGGUAACCGUAGGGGAACCUGCGGUUGGAUCACCUCCUUACCUUAAAGAAGC